UACAGAGGGGGCAAGCGUUGUUCGGAAUUAUUGGGCGUAAAGGGUUCGUAGGUGGCCGGCUAAGUCAGACGUGAAAUCCCUCAGCUUAACUGGGGAACUGCGUCUGAGACUGGUCGGCUUGAGUGCAGGAGAGGAACGCGGAAUUCCAGGUGUAGCGGUGAAAUGCGUAGAUAUCUGGAGGAACACCGGUGGCGAAGGCGGCGUUCUGGACUGCUACUGACACUGAGGAACGAAAGCCAGGGGAGCAAACGGG
Molecule: ribosomal RNA, 253 nt
Filed under: uncultured bacterium
Lineage: Bacteria
Description: partial 16S ribosomal RNA
Rfam family: Bacterial small subunit ribosomal RNA
Source: RNAcentral